ACCCCAUGUGAAAAAGCCGGCCAAUUUCGUAUUUGAGACUUGAUUGGUGUGCUUUCGAUGGGAACAUUAAAUCUGGUGUUGUGUAUGACUACAUUAUAUAUCAUUAUAUGCAGUCAAAGGAAACUCAGAAACA
This is a small nucleolar RNA of Chrysoperla carnea, 133 nucleotides long. RefSeq annotates it as small nucleolar RNA snoR639/H1. The record is from RefSeq and is a predicted model, not a curated record. The transcript has a single exon. NCBI's taxonomy places the organism in Eukaryota, Metazoa, Arthropoda, Insecta, Neuroptera, Chrysopidae.